UAUUAUAGGCCUAUCGCGCAAAACCUGUGCCGUCCGAUCUGGCAAGUUAAGCAACGUUGAGUCCAGUUAGUACUUGGAUCGGAGACGGCCUGGGAAUCCUGGAUGUUGUAAGCU
Caenorhabditis japonica is the source of this 114-nucleotide non-coding RNA. Lineage: Eukaryota; Metazoa; Nematoda; Chromadorea; Rhabditida; Rhabditidae. The record is from Rfam.